AUUGAACGCUGGCGGAAUGCUCUACACAUGCAAGUCGAACGAUGAACCUUAGCUUGCUAAGGGGAUUAGUGGCGAACGGGUGAGUAAUAUAUCGGAACGUACCUUGUAAUGGGGGAUAACUAGUCGAAAGAUUAGCUAAUACCGCAUACGCCCUGAGGGGGAAAGUAGGGGAUCUUCGGACCUUACGUUAUAAGAGCGGCCGAUAUCUGAUUAGCUAGUUGGUGGGGUAAUGGCCUACCAAGGCGACGAUCAGUAUCUGGUCUGAGAGGACGACCAGCCACACUGGAACUGAGACACGGUCCAGACUACUACGGGAGGCAGCAGUGGGGAAUUUUGGACAAUGGGCGCAAGCCUGAUCCAGCCAUUCCGCGUGAGUGAAGAAGGCCUUCGGGUUGUAAAGCUCUUUCGCAAGGGAAGAAAACUUACAUUCUAAUAAAGUGUGAGGCUGACGGUACCUUGAUAAGAAGCACCGGCUAACUACGUGCCAGCCGCCGCAGUAA
This 500-nucleotide ribosomal RNA is filed under the name uncultured bacterium. RNAcentral describes it as "partial 16S ribosomal RNA". It matches the Rfam family "Bacterial small subunit ribosomal RNA", at positions 30 to 523 of the family's 1533-position model. The record is from RNAcentral.